Molecule: ribosomal RNA, 717 nt
Filed under: uncultured bacterium
Lineage: Bacteria
Description: bacterial SSU rRNA
Rfam family: Bacterial small subunit ribosomal RNA
Source: RNAcentral
CCGAUGACUCGGGGAUAGCCUUUCGAAAGAAAGAUUAAUACCCGAUGGCAUAGUUCUUCCGCAUGGUAGAACUAUUAAAGAAUUUCGGUCAUCGAUGGGGAUGCGUUCCAUUAGGUUGUUGGCGGGGUAACGGCCCACCAAGCCUUCGAUGGAUAGGGGUUCUGAGAGGAAGGUCCCCCACAUUGGAACUGAGACACGGUCCAAACUCCUACGGGAGGCAGCAGUGAGGAAUAUUGGUCAAUGGACGAGAGUCUGAACCAGCCAAGUAGCGUGAAGGAUGACUGCCCUAUGGGUUGUAAACUUCUUUUAUACGGGAAUAAAGUGAGGCACGUGUGCCUUUUUGUAUGUACCGUAUGAAUAAGGAUCGGCUAACUCCGUGCCAGCAGCCGCGGUAAUACGGAGGAUCCGAGCGUUAUCCGGAUUUAUUGGGUUUAAAGGGAGCGUAGGCGGACGCUUAAGUCAGUUGUGAAAGUUUGCGGCUCAACCGUAAAAUUGCAGUUGAUACUGGGUGUCUUGAGUACAGUAGAGGCAGGCGGAAUUCGUGGUGUAGCGGUGAAAUGCUUAGAUAUCACGAAGAACUCCGAUUGCGAAGGCAGCUUGCUGGACUGUAACUGACGCUGAUGCUCGAAAGUGUGGGUAUCAAACAGGAUUAGAUACCCUGGUAGUCCACACAGUAAACGAUGAAUACUCGCUGUUUGCGAUAUACAGUAAGCGGCC